This 304-nucleotide unclassified non-coding RNA is filed under the name Hevea brasiliensis (rubber tree). The record is from RNAcentral. Lineage: Eukaryota; Viridiplantae; Streptophyta; Magnoliopsida; Malpighiales; Euphorbiaceae.
UUAAAAAUGGCAAAAAAAAAAACUUAAAAUAUGGCCUUUUCUUUUGCUUUUAAAUUUUAAAAGGUUCUGAUAUAUUUUUGAUAAACAGUCAUUCAAAAAGAAACAUCAAAACACCAAUUUCAACAAGUGAGAAGUAAUAGAUUAUUCUUAAAAUGGUGAAAAUGCAAUUCAUAAACAGCCAUUUGAGGACAAAUUGAUAGUACAUAUGGGUACUUGAUACAAGUAUGCAUACAAAUUGUACUAGUUUGUAGGGACACAUUACCAAAUUUAAUUGCUUUAUAGAAAAUAAUAAUAAUAAUAAUAA